Molecule: long non-coding RNA, 393 nt
Organism: Mastomys coucha (southern multimammate mouse)
Lineage: Eukaryota; Metazoa; Chordata; Mammalia; Rodentia; Muridae
Exons: 2
Source: RefSeq, a predicted model, not a curated record
AACCACUGAAGGACUUUAGGCAGGAAAGAGCUACAGCCCAGCGUGUGUUCCUGCAAGGAAGAUGCCCAGUGUGUGUCCUCACAAGGAACUUGCCCAGUGUGUGUUCCCACAAGGAACUUGGCUGUGAGCUGGACAAAUAUGCCGCCCACCUGGGUGGAUGCUCUGAUGCUCUGCUUCUGCUUCUGAGCUAGGAAUGUUCCUGCCCAACUUGCCUUUUACAGUACUGUGAGAUGCAGCCUGUACUUCACCUAGACGUCUCCUAGGAAUCCUGCUUCUUGAUCAGGCGAGCCUUAUCUAUUUGCUACUAGACUGGCAUGAUUUCAAAACGUGCCCAUUUUCUCAGCAAUGACUCUAGAUGUUCUUUGGUCAUAAUAAAGUUCUGAGCUAAAAGGA